This 307-nucleotide unclassified non-coding RNA is filed under the name plant metagenome. RNAcentral describes it as "partial contains 5.8S ribosomal RNA, internal transcribed spacer 2, and large subunit ribosomal RNA". The stretch from base 1 to 106 matches the Rfam family "5.8S ribosomal RNA", at positions 49 to 154 of the family's 154-position model. The record is from RNAcentral.
CGAAAUGUGAUAAGUAAUGUGAAUUGCAGAAUUCAGUGAAUCAUCGAAUCUUUGAACGCACAUUGCGCCCGCCAGUAUUCUGGCGGGCAUGCCUGUCCGAGCGUCAUUUCAACCAUCAAGCCCCCGGGCUUGUGUUGGGGACCUGCGGCUGCCCGCAGGCCCUGAAAACCAGUGGCGGGCUCGCUGUCACACCGAGCGUAGUAGCAAUCACCUCGCUCAGGGCGUGCUGCGGGUUCCGGCCGUUAAACAGCCUUACAAAACCCAAGGUUGACCUCGGAUCAGGUAGGAAGACCCGCUGAACUUAAGC